AGAGAAUCUAAAAAGGCUUCCUAUUUGUAAGGAAGUAGACAAGUCCUCAAGAGCACUUUGACUCUUCAGAUCCCUGCUAUGACCCCUGUGGGGCUCCCAGAUUAUGCAGAAGCAUCAUUGAAACAAAGUUCAGGGCAAAUCUGGAUGAAAUGAUUUUUCCUUUUUAACAGAAUACUCCUGUUAUUGUGCAGAUUCUUCUCUGCAAGAGCUUGCCAUUAAAAAUGCAUUUAGUAGUCUGAGACAUAUGGAAGAUAUAAUACAUCUGGUCCCUAAAGCCAAAUUGUGUCUUUUGGUCUUUUUUUCAUUCCUAAAUGUUCUCUGCUCUGAUGGUAGAUUAAACGGUUUGUAAUGCUUCCCAAUAUGUUGACAUUCAUGUAAAUCAACACGUAAUCUAUCAGCAUUGUAUCCUUUUGUCUAGUGAUAUUUCUAACUAUUGAUUUUUGUGGAGGAUUGAAUGCAGAAUACUGGGGAAGUGAUUACCUUAGCUAGAUGACUCCUGUAGUUUUAAAACAUGCAUCUUUCUUUCUGGAUUAAAAAUUCCUCAGAACAACAGCUGACAGUCUUUAUUAAAGAGAAAUAAAGACUGAAGGCAAGAAUACUUGCAGGAGGGUAGAAGGUACAUGAUGUGUUAUAAUGUUCCCUGUGCAAAGCAUUACUGAGGAGUAAAAGAGAAUCAUAAUGCAAAUCAUAAAUCUAAAAGAUUGUAGAGAAUCUACAGAAUUGCCAUAUGGAUAUAUACUUCAUCUUACCUGAGGCAAUCUAAUAAACAUAAUGCUGAGUAAUUAUAACAAUUCUGCUCUCAGAAGUGAUGAUAUCGAUUAUUGUCCUAAAUUUCUAAAACAUUUUACCACCUUUUGCUAACUAAGGAAAGCAAACUUGAAGCUAUUUGGGACUGCAGUGGCACAUUUGUGCUGUGCAAGAAGGCAUGAUGUGGAUCUGUCUGGAGGAAACUGCAUGUGGAAAAAAGGAUAUGAUAGUCGUUGGCUUUGCUCAGAUGGAGAGCCUGGACAUUGUCUUGCUGUGUACUAAAGAGGAGAUGACCUAGAACAUGCUCAUCCUGGAGCUGAGCAAUAGGAUGCAGGUGACGCACACAGAAUCAGAAUUGUCUCUUCAAGUAGCUGGAAGAAAACUGUAAUUCCAGUGAACCCCAGGGAGAAGGCAGUGACCAGUAGCAGAAGAUGGGGACGCAGAGCUGAAGUGCCAUUGCAUUCAGUGCCACAACCAUUGCUCUUCCAAUGCUUCUUUAGAGCUAUUGAACCUUUCCAAAUAACAUAAAAUGAACCACUGUUGUCAAAUUAGUAUGUAUGCCAAAAUGAAGAAAAUAAAAGUGUGCUAUUGGUUAAUACUGAGAGUAUU
Molecule: long non-coding RNA, 1356 nt
Filed under: Phasianus colchicus (ring-necked pheasant)
Lineage: Eukaryota; Metazoa; Chordata; Aves; Galliformes; Phasianidae
Description: lncRNA (ENSPCLG00000009184.1)
Source: RNAcentral